Molecule: unclassified non-coding RNA, 279 nt
Filed under: plant metagenome
Description: partial contains small subunit ribosomal RNA, internal transcribed spacer 1, and 5.8S ribosomal RNA
Rfam family: 5.8S ribosomal RNA (bases 225-279)
Source: RNAcentral
UUUCCGUAGGUGAACCUGCGGAAGGAUCAUUAACGAGUUAGGGACUUCUAGGCCCUACCUCACAACCCUAUGUUUAUUGAACCUCUGUUGCUUCCGCGGACCCGCCUCACGGCCGCCGGAAGACCGCUGCAAGGCGUCCUUUGGCCUGCGUCCGCCGAUGAUCAAUCACUUAAAUUCUGAAUGAAUCGUGUCAUAUGUCUAAGUCUAUGAUUAAAUGAAAGCAAAACUUUCAACAACGGAAAUCUUGGUUCUAGCAUCGAUGAAGAAAGCAGCAGAUCG